Molecule: non-coding RNA, 2014 nt
Organism: Coturnix japonica (Japanese quail)
Lineage: Eukaryota; Metazoa; Chordata; Aves; Galliformes; Phasianidae
Source: RefSeq, a predicted model, not a curated record
UUAUGUUCUGUUAUUUCCAGCAAUACCAAAGAUUGAGACUCAAGGAGAAAAGACUUGGAGCGCAUGGAACAGUUCUUUUCUACCAAAACUGAAACUCCCAAGUUAAGAAUUGUAACUUUUCUCUGUGGGCAAGAAAGGACUAAAGUCCCCAGGGCUAUUGCUUCCUCAUUAAAGUUUGUAUGACUUUUAUCAUUACCCAGGAAGAUUAAAGUUGUCAUGAUGUUUUGGUAUUCUUGAAAAUACCUCUCUCAGACAAGAAGUGAUUCUAGCCUGGAAAAAUGAUUAACUGGAAAGUGAUAUGAUUGAUAGGCAAAAUAAUACAGUAGAUAGGAAAUCAUGAGAAAAUCAGAGACAAUGAAUAUGAAGCAAUUCCAAUAACGCUUCGUAUGCAAAGAUUAAGUGUCAUUAUGUGAAAAUGUCAAGGAUGUGAUACAGAAGGAGAUGCUACAUGCAACAGUGUAUACCUAAGUAACCAAACUCCAAGCCAUGUAAUGCACUGGACACCAAAACUGUAUGCUUAGAAGAGCAGUUAUUUAAAUAAUUUAAGGUUUACAAUUUAAUUAUUAUUUAAUCAUUUAAAGUUAUUAGUGGAAUAAAAAUCUAUCCAAAGCUUUACAGUUGUGCAAAUGUAUCAGUUCCAUCUCUGAAAUCUUCAAAUUGUAUAUCCUAGAUUUUGAUAUAGAGUUAACGAUGCUUGCUGGGAUUCUGAUUGCUUCCUAAAAUGUGGUAUUGGAAGAGAGGAUUCAAAAGUAGGUAGAACCUUAGUUCAGCCUGACAUGGUUCAUGCUGAACCCCAGUUUCCCUCAAAAUGAGAUUUUGUGUGCAUAUUACUCAAAGUAUUAUUUUGAAAUCAAGCCAGACCAAGGAUGAAGACAUGAAAGUAGAAAUUAGGAUGAAGAUCCCUCAAAACCACAGUGCCAGGGGUGGGAAAAUAAACAAAGUUGAAAAGGGAAUGUGAGUCUACAGAGAAAAAAAAAGAAAAAAGAAAGAAGAAAAAAAGUGUGAGUAAUCAACACUGAAGCUCAGUGAAGCUAAAGGGGGAGAAGAAAAAUACUGAAAUGAAAGCCAGAGCAGUGGCAAAGUCCAAUUAUCUCUUUAUGUGUUAAUGGAGACAGUACUGGGAUAUCCCAGCCAGCAGUUAUGUCACAAUGCUGAGACAGCUGGGACAGCAUCCGCCUCCCUUCUCUCCUCAUCUGGACAUCUGCUUCAUCCUCUCUGUCCUAACAGGAGGUAUUCCUCACUCCUCAAGAGUUUACAAAACCUUGGUUGAACUUACACAGCCCGCUUUCAGCAGCCUAUCAGGAGUGAAGACAAACAGAAAGGAGGACACAUUGUGUCUUGGGUUGAGCUCACUCGCCCACUUGAAAUCGCACUUUGAAUGUGUAUGUGUUUGUGGCAGUUAAACCAGGGAGUUGAUGAGCUUUUGAACUUCCAAGGAAACAAGGUGAUUUGGAUAAAAAAAUAAUCAGAACAAAUCCCACUUGACUGUAAUGACAGGAGCAAAGAAAUGACAAGAUGUCUGGAGUGUAAACUGCUUGUGAACUGGAUGCGAUAUUGUGCCCACCUCUUUUUUCAUCUCCCCACCUGACUGUCAAGUUCCGGGACCUAUGAUCACUUGUGUCAUGUCUAAGCCAUGGAGGUGGCCCAGCCUUGAUCCCUGCAGGCCUCUGAAGUCACCCAUGGAGCAUUACAGAGGUCUUAAAUAUGUGCCUGUAUUACUGCAUGGCUAAAAAACAGACACCCAUGGUGCGAGGAGGGGAAUAGUGUGGUUUAUUCGUGUCACGAGGGGGAUAUUGUAUUGUUUCACAGCUUAUGGAAUAUGCAUCAGUCUCACAGGAAGCCCUUUGGAAGGAGUUUCACAAUAGGAUCUGGUUUCAAGAGCUGAAAUUUCACCUGAAAAUAUGGAAUUUGCAGAGAUGGAAAGCCUACUGUUAUUUCCUCUGUGCAUUGUCAAAGCACAUCCUGGGGUAAUGAAACAUUUGUGCAUUAAAGUAUGUGUUUGAAGCAAUGAAAA